UGGGGAAUAUUGCACAAUGGGCGAAAGCCUGAUGCAGCAACGCCGCGUGGAGGAUGAAGGCCUUCGGGUUGUAAACUCUUGUCUUCUGGGACGAUAAUGACGGUACCAGAGGAGGAAGCCACGGCUAACUACGUGCCAGCAGCCGCGGUAAUACGUAGGUGGCAAGCGUUGUCCGGAUUUACUGGGCGUAAAGGAUGCGUAGGCGGAUAUUUAAGUGGGAUGUGAAAUACCCGGGCUCAACCUGGGUGCUGCAUUCCAAACUGGGUAUCUGGAGUGCGGGAGAGGAGAGUGGAAUUCCUAGUGUAGCGGUGAAAUGCGUAGAGAUUAGGAAGAACACCAGUGGCGAAGGCGACUCUCUGGACCGUAACUGACGCUGAGGCAUGAAAGCGUGGGGAGCAAACAGG
RNAcentral lists this ribosomal RNA (404 nucleotides) under uncultured prokaryote. RNAcentral's name for it is "bacterial SSU rRNA". It matches the Rfam family "Bacterial small subunit ribosomal RNA", at positions 355 to 776 of the family's 1533-position model. The record is from RNAcentral. RNAcentral also lists the same sequence under 1 other name.